Long non-coding RNA from Lynx canadensis (Canada lynx), 264 nucleotides. RefSeq lists it as uncharacterized. The record is from RefSeq and is a predicted model, not a curated record. Lineage: Eukaryota; Metazoa; Chordata; Mammalia; Carnivora; Felidae. The transcript is spliced from 3 exons.
AGAAGAGGAUUUACCAUUUCCUUUAAAAUUAACAGCAUGAAAGUAUUUUUCUUUUCAUCCUGGCUUCCAAUGUAUAACAAAGUAUCUAAGAGUUGCACUGGCAACAGUUCAAUUGAUAUCUUCUGGAGGCAACCAGCUGCUCUUGGAUGGGACAUGUAAAAAUAAGACCUCUUUGGUGCCCAUUGGAGUGUGGGAAGAUUUGCUAAUGUCACUGGUAAGCUAACCUAGUUCUCUCACAAGCCCACCGCUGGCAUGGCUCCAAAA